Molecule: long non-coding RNA, 2744 nt
Organism: Nyctereutes procyonoides (raccoon dog)
Lineage: Eukaryota; Metazoa; Chordata; Mammalia; Carnivora; Canidae
Exons: 3
Source: RefSeq, a predicted model, not a curated record
CACACAAACCCCGAGCCAAGUGAACGAAGCCCGGCACUGCUCUUCUCAAGGGCAGCAUGAUGUGGAGGGGUGGGGGUGGUGGGCAGGUGCACUUUUGUCAGAGCGGCGGUUCUCAGCUGGGGGAAUGAAGUGGAUCUGGACCACAGGGCCAGGUCCCACCCCCGACCGAAUGAAGUGAAAAUCCCCACCAAGGCACCCAGGCAACUGCAGUGGGACACGCACACACUCCUCAGGCAACGCCGUGGCCUUCUGUACAGAGAUAGGCUGCUCGACCUACUUGUAAUUAAACGUGAGCUAAAACAACUCAAAGUCAUAUUGGCAAAAAUACAAAAUGGGUGAUGUGCUUUCUGUUGGGCAGAGAAUAAACUGGCAUAGCCUCAUCGGAGGGCAGUUUGUCGCUAUCUAUCAAACUUUAAAACCACACACCCGGUGGCUCAGCAUCUCAUUUCAAGGGCAUAUACUUGUACAUGUGCACAAAAUAUACACACAAGGACAAUUACUUCAAGUAUUGGUUAUGAUGGGAAAAGACAGGGAACACUUUAACUGCAUACCAGCUGGAGACUGGUUAAAUGAUAUUAUCCUAACAAUGGGAUACUAGGGGAAGAUGUUUAUGAACUGACACACUAAGAAAAAGAAAGCAACUUGCAGGACAGUGGGCACAGAAUUACCUUAUUUAUAUUUUUAAAAUCUACACCUAUAUAUUGAGCGCACCUAUUCUGGAAGGAAAUAUAAGAAAAUCGUUACCAGUGGUUCCCUCUAGGGAAGAGUACUGGAUAACUGGACAUUUAAGUAGGGAGACUUUUUACUAUACUUUUUUUUUUUUUUUUUACCAUAUACAUAUAUGACUUAUGAUGGCUGUGAAACAAGGCUGAUUGACGCUCACACAGGAAUGGAGCAUAACUGACAGGAUGGCCCCAGCUGCCAUCCCUCUGGAUCCACCAUCCAGUGGAUGUCACCCUUUCCCCAGUCAAUGACUGAGUGAAAUGUGGGCCUCCACUAACAGGCAACUUUACCUCGAGGUUCAGCCUGAACCUGCCAUGGAACUGCCCUACCGUCCACGACUCCCUGCCCAAACCUCCUUCCCUGGAGAGCUGAGCUCCUACUGGAGUCUGAAGGCUCUCCCUGACUUCUGCAGAUUCCCCUCCUUUUAUGCUUCACAGGUGCUGCCUCCAGUUCAUUCCUUGCAUGUCUAAUCUCAUCCUAGUGUCUGUUUCUUGGAAGAGCAGAACACAUUUAUUGAAUAAAAAAACAAAACCAAAAACAGCUGCUUUAGAUAUUCCAGGAGUAAGGCAGUAGCAGCUGUCCAGUCCCAAAGCCCAAGCUCCUGUCCACAGACUACCACUGGUCCCUGACUCUGAGCUCAAAGAGAGCAGGGACCAUCUCAGGGGUCUCUGCAUGUAGCUGGUGACCAGGUCACUCCCCCAAAACCGUCGUCUUGCCCACUCCGUUCCUUGCAUUCUAACCUCCAGCCCCACCCAGCUGCUUUCAGUUCCUCCCAAAGCUGUGUUUUCUUAUCUUGUUCACAUCCUGUUUCCUCUAGCAAGCUUGUUCUUCACCUGACCAAUACUGAUUCAUCCGAAAGUCCCAGUUAGAUGCCACUUCAUGCAUUCAACAAACAUGGAGGACUUACUGUGUACCAGGUCCUCUUCCAGGCACUAAAGAUAUAUACAUCAGUGAACAACAACAACAAAAAAAUUAUGCCUGUGUUGAACUUAGAUUCGUGGGAGAGCCAGGCUAUAAGCAAGAAAAAAACUAUAGUCUACCAGAUGAAAGUGCUAGGGGGAGAAAUAAAGCAGGGUAGAGGGUUUGGAGGUACCUGGGAAUAGGGAUUGAAAUUUUAAAUAGGGUGGUCAGGGAUGAUUUGUUCACCCAAAUGACAUUUGAGGAGAGAUGAAGGAGAUGAGGGAGUAAGGCCAUGCAGAUAUCUGGGAGAACAAGGGCAAAGCCAGAGGCAAGAACACGCCCGCCAGUAUGGAGGCCAGUGUGUGGCUACAGCCAAAUGAACAAGGUGGAGAAUAUUAGCAGAUGCGUUGACAGAGAUACCGGGAGCCCCAUUGAUACAGGGCUUUGUAGGCCAGUAAGAACUCUUUUAUUGAGUUUGGUGGAAGCCAUCUGAGAAGAGUGACACGGUCUGAUUUCUAUUUUACAGGAUUGCUCGUCUGUCUUGCAAAUGGAUUGUAAGGGGUUAAGGACAGAAGUAGAGACUAUUCAGAAGGUGCUGCAGUAAGCCAGGACUCAUUCCCAGGACCCCAGGAUCAUGACCUGAGCCAAAGGUUGAGAAGCGGCUCGGAGGAGGAAAAGAAGUUGCCCAUGGUCACAUGAUGACUCCAAGAUUGAGCUGCAGUUUGAACUUCUGUCUUACUUUUCUGCACUGGAUACUCAGAAGUAACACACUCAGAACUACCCCUCAAAACAUCCAUUUCCAAAAAAAAAAAAAAAAAAACAUCCAUUUCCUUGUGGGCAAAAUGGGGGUAUGUGUCUCAUUGUCUAGGGGGUCCUUAGAAGGAUUCAGUAGAAUGGUGUGUGCAGAGUUCUGGUACAUUGGAUCAUGACAUGUCUGUUAACUCGUGAUGACCACCCCACUUGAGAGCAGAAAGGUAGCUGGAGGGAGGGCAGCUUGCCCUGCAUCUUGGUUUGGAGGACUCCUAGCAUCCCGUCCUCCUAGCUUCAUCCAGUCUCUGAAGAAAGAAAUCUGGCUGUUGGGUAUUUGCUAGAGGAGGCCAGAAAUGCCUGACCUGUCACUG